UACGUAGGUGGCAAGCGUUGUCCGGAUUUAUUGGGUUUAAAGGGUGCGUAGGCGGCCCUGUAAGUCAGUGCUGAAAUAUCCCGGCUUAACCGGGAGGGUGGCAUUGAUACUGCAGGGCUUGAGUAAAGUUGAGGUUGGCGGAAUUGACGGUGUAGCGGUGAAAUGCAUAGAUAUCGUCAAGAACACCGAUAGCGAAGGCAGCUUACUGGGCUGUAACUGACGCUGAGGCACGAAAGUGUGGGGAUCAAACAGG
RNAcentral lists this ribosomal RNA (253 nucleotides) under uncultured bacterium. Its description in RNAcentral is "partial 16S ribosomal RNA". It matches the Rfam family "Bacterial small subunit ribosomal RNA", at positions 524 to 776 of the family's 1533-position model. The record is from RNAcentral.